This 468-nucleotide ribosomal RNA is filed under the name uncultured bacterium. RNAcentral's name for it is "partial 16S ribosomal RNA". It matches the Rfam family "Bacterial small subunit ribosomal RNA", at positions 28 to 507 of the family's 1533-position model. The record is from RNAcentral.
GACGAACGCUGGCGGCGUGCUUAACACAUGCAAGUCGAACGGAAAGACCCUGCUUUUGUGGGGUGCUCGAGUGGCGAACGGGUGAGUAACACGUGAGUAACCUGCCCUUGACUUUGGGAUAACUUCAGGAGACUGGGGCUAAUACCGGAUAGGAGCUCCUGCUGCAUGGUGGGGGUUGGAAAGUUUCGGCGGUUGGGGAUGGACUCGCGGCUUAUCAGCUUGUUGGUGGGGUAGUGGCUUACCAAGGCUUUGACGGGUAGCCGGCCUGAGAGGGUGACCGGCCACAUUGGGACUGAGACACGGCCCAGACUCCUACGGGAGGCAGCAGUGGGGAAUAUUGCGCAAUGGGCGGAAGCCUGAUGCAGCAACGCCGCGUGCGGGAUGACGGCCUUCGGGUUGUAAACCGCUUUCGCCUGUGACGAAGCGUGAGUGACGGUAAUGGGUAAAGAAGCACCGGCUAACUACGUG